This 393-nucleotide ribosomal RNA is filed under the name Philantomba monticola (Blue duiker). RNAcentral's name for it is "partial 12S ribosomal RNA". It matches the Rfam family "Bacterial small subunit ribosomal RNA", at positions 796 to 1384 of the family's 1533-position model. The record is from RNAcentral. Lineage: Eukaryota; Metazoa; Chordata; Mammalia; Artiodactyla; Bovidae.
UCAGCCCUAAACACAAAUAAUUUUAAAAACAAAAUUAUUCGCCAGAGUACUACCGGCAACAGCCUAAAACUCAAAGGACUUGGCGGUGCUUUAUACCCUUCUAGAGGAGCCUGUUCUAUAAUCGAUAAACCCCGAUAGACCUCACCAAUUCUUGCUAAUACAGUCUAUAUACCGCCAUCUUCAGCAAACCCUAAAAAGGAACAAAAGUAAGCGCAAUCAUAACACAUAAAAACGUUAGGUCAAGGUGUAACCUAUGAAAUGGGAAGAAAUGGGCUACAUUUUCUACUUCAAGAAAACCCACACACGAAAGUUAUUAUGAAACUAAUAACCAAAGGAGGAUUUAGUAGUAAACUAAGAAUAGAGUGCUUAGUUGAACUAGGCCAUGAAGCACGC